This 253-nucleotide ribosomal RNA is filed under the name uncultured bacterium. Its description in RNAcentral is "partial 16S ribosomal RNA". It matches the Rfam family "Bacterial small subunit ribosomal RNA", at positions 524 to 776 of the family's 1533-position model. The record is from RNAcentral.
UACGUAGGGCGCAAGCGUUGUCCGGAAUUAUUGGGCGUAAAGAGCUCGUAGGCGGUUUGUCGCGUCUGCCGUGAAAACCCGAGGCUUAACCUCGGGCUGGCGGUGGAUACGGGCAGACUAGAGGUAGGUAGGGGAGAAUGGAAUUCCCGGUGUAGCGGUGAAAUGCGCAGAUAUCGGGAGGAACACCAAUGGCGAAGGCAGCUCACUGGGACGGCACUGACGCUGAGACGCGAAAGCGUGGGGAGCAAACAGG